Molecule: non-coding RNA, 30 nt
Filed under: Cricetulus griseus (Chinese hamster)
Lineage: Eukaryota; Metazoa; Chordata; Mammalia; Rodentia; Cricetidae
Source: RNAcentral
UGGGCUGGAGAGAUGGCUCAGAGGUUAAGA